This 106-nucleotide small nuclear RNA is filed under the name Neotoma lepida (desert woodrat). Lineage: Eukaryota; Metazoa; Chordata; Mammalia; Rodentia; Cricetidae. The record is from RNAcentral.
GUGCUUGCUUGGGCAGCAUAUAUACUAAAACUGGGAUGAUACAGAGAAGAAUAGCAUGGCCCUGUGCAAGGAUAACAGGCAAAUUCAUGAAGCAUUAAGCCAGGCA